RNAcentral lists this ribosomal RNA (577 nucleotides) under uncultured bacterium. RNAcentral's name for it is "partial 16S ribosomal RNA". It matches the Rfam family "Bacterial small subunit ribosomal RNA", at positions 355 to 926 of the family's 1533-position model. The record is from RNAcentral.
UGGGGAAUUUUGGACAAUGGGCGAAAGCCUGAUCCAGCAAUGCCGCGUGUGUGAAGAAGGCCUUCGGGUUGUAAAGCACUUUUGUCCGGAAAGAAAUCCUUGGCUCUAAUACAGUCGGGGGAUGACGGUACCGGAAGAAUAAGCACCGGCUAACUACGUGCCAGCAGCCGCGGUAAUACGUAGGGUGCAAGCGUUAAUCGGAAUUACUGGGCGUAAAGCGUGCGCAGGCGGUUUGCUAAGACCGAUGUGAAAUCCCCGGGCUCAACCUGGGAACUGCAUUGGUGACUGGCAGGCUAGAGUAUGGCAGAGGGGGGUAGAAUUCCACGUGUAGCAGUGAAAUGCGUAGAGAUGUGGAGGAAUACCGAUGGCGAAGGCAGCCCCCUGGGCCAAUACUGACGCUCAUGCACGAAAGCGUGGGGAGCAAACAGGAUUAGAUACCCUGGUAGUCCACGCCCUAAACGAUGUCAACUAGUUGUUGGGGAUUCAUUCCUUAGUAACGUAGCUAACGCGUGAAGUUGACCGCCUGGGGAGUACGGUCGCAAGAUUAAAACUCAAAUGAAUUGACGGGGUCAUAGCU